GCCUGGCUGGCUCAGAUGGUAGAGUGUGCGACUCUUGAUCUCAGGGUUGUGGGUUUGAGCCCCACACUGGGUG
This 73-nucleotide transfer RNA is filed under the name Canis lupus familiaris (dog). It matches the Rfam family "tRNA". From Rfam's summary of the family: Transfer RNA (tRNA) molecules are approximately 80 nucleotides in length. Their secondary structure includes four short double-helical elements and three loops (D, anti-codon, and T loops). Lineage: Eukaryota; Metazoa; Chordata; Mammalia; Carnivora; Canidae. The record is from Rfam by way of RNAcentral. RNAcentral also lists the same sequence under 1 other name.